RNAcentral lists this long non-coding RNA (1371 nucleotides) under Volvox carteri. RNAcentral describes it as "long non-coding RNA (VCAR_LNC002131)". Lineage: Eukaryota; Viridiplantae; Chlorophyta; Chlorophyceae; Chlamydomonadales; Volvocaceae. The record is from RNAcentral.
UCAGUCUUAUACAGUCAAAUAUCUUGCGAUAGUUUUGCUUCAUAAACAUUUUCGGUGUAAUCGGCACAUCAUGCCGAAACAAGGCGAGUCGCGUGCUUCGCCGCCUCAGAAUCACGUCCUUGAUAAGUCGCCUGUCCUUAAACAGCCGACCGGCCAUGAUUCCAAUAAUCGGUGUACACCUUUUGCGAGCCGUCAUUGCACUUGCAACCGUCGCCUGUGUUCGGUACGCAACUGUCACACGUGUGACGCAAUAGACGUGCCUCACUGGACUGAGUUUCUCCAAAAGAGUAUGUUGGUGAGAAAUCGAGCAUCAUUGGAUCCUCACAAAAAGCCUGCCUCGUAUCCCUGGCACUACAAAGCGGUGUAACAUCAUAAUCCAACUACGCUGGGCUGCUCAUUAACGGGUGAGCUGCGGGUGUCACACAGAGACCUGCUCCUGUUAAAUUGCGUUUCCUGAUCGCCUUAAUCAGGAAACGCAACUUAACUGCUGGAUAGAAUGAGCUCAGGCUUUGCUUAGGUGUUGCACGCCCACGUCUGCAGGAGGGUAGGAUUCGGGCUGGAAUUAGGGAAGAGCUCUGUCGCAGAAUUAGCCUGGAUUUUAUUCCUGACAAAAGAAUUGGUCUGCCGAGGUCUGGAAUUGUUCUGGCGGACCCGCCGGAGGUAUUCGAAUUGCGCUGUGGAGCCUCGGAAUUGGGCUGUGCUGCGCCUGAAUUGGCCUGUCCGGGUGUCGAAUUGGCCUGUCCGGGUGCCGAAUUGGCCUAACAGGGUAUUGAAUUAGCCUGACAGGGUAUCGAAUUGACCUGUUCGGGGUGUCAAAUUGGCCUGACAGGGUAUCGAAUUAGCCUGACAGGGUGUCGAAUUGGCUGUCAAGUUGGCAGAAAGGCCUUUCAUUCAGUAUAAAAACGCCUCCUUUCGAGUGCUUUUGAUUCCUAGGGGUGCUACUGUAGUAGCUGGUACACAGUAGGGCUCGAUACAUUGUGCCGGGCCACACUACUGCAGGGCAGGCGCGUGUGCUUACAUUUCUUUGUCUGCGUGAAUGAUUGGAUGUAUGAAUGAAUGGACGAAUGAAAGGUGUGGUUAACAUGCCCUGGUUUGGUUCGGUUCGGGUGGUGGUAUCUUUUUGAACACAUGUAGUCUGGUUGAGUGCCGGGGGCCCUUAGCAGGACUGAAGCACAGUUCAAGACGAGGCGUGUGGAUAUGUCUGCUUGUCUGAACGAAGGAAUGAAUGAAUGAAUAGACCGGGUGUUAAAAUUGUGAGCGACUUGCCAUGCAGACACACCUUUGGUUUUGGUCGGUUCGGGUGAUGGUAACUUUUCACACAUACACACACAAUGAAUGUAUGGGUGAAUGAGUACGGAGUACGGUAACAAG